UUGAUCCUGGCUCAGGACGAACGCUGGCGGCGUGCUUAACACAUGCAAGUCGAGCGGUAAGGCCCUUCGGGGUACACGAGCGGCGAACGGGUGAGUAACACGUGGGUGAUCUGCCCUGCACUUCGGGAUAAGCCUGGGAAACUGGGUCUAAUACCGGAUAUGACCUUCGGCUGCAUGGCUGAGGGUGGAAAGGUUUACUGGUGCAGGAUGGGCCCGCGGCCUAUCAGCUUGUUGGUGGGGUAAUGGCCUACCAAGGCGACGACGGGUAGCCGACCUGAGAGGGUGACCGGCCACACUGGGACUGAGACACGGCCCAGACUCCUACGGGAGGCAGCAGUGGGGAAUAUUGCACAAUGGGCGAAAGCCUGAUGCAGCGACGCCGCGUGAGGGAUGACGGCCUUCGGGUUGUAAACCUCUUUCAGCAGGGACGAAGCGAAAGUGACGGUACCUGCAGAAGAAGCACCGGCCAACUA
RNAcentral lists this ribosomal RNA (473 nucleotides) under Rhodococcus opacus. RNAcentral describes it as "bacterial SSU rRNA". It matches the Rfam family "Bacterial small subunit ribosomal RNA", at positions 13 to 503 of the family's 1533-position model. The record is from RNAcentral. Lineage: Bacteria; Bacillati; Actinomycetota; Actinomycetes; Mycobacteriales; Nocardiaceae.